RNAcentral lists this small nucleolar RNA (122 nucleotides) under Dasypus novemcinctus (nine-banded armadillo). RNAcentral's name for it is "Small nucleolar RNA SNORA26 (ENSDNOG00000042101.1)". It matches the Rfam family "Small nucleolar RNA SNORA26". Rfam says of the family: The snoRNA HBI-6 belong to the H/ACA family of snoRNAs, guiding the pseudouridylation of position U4522 if the 28S rRNA. HBI-6 is the human orthologue of mouse MBI-6 snoRNA. Lineage: Eukaryota; Metazoa; Chordata; Mammalia; Cingulata; Dasypodidae. The record is from RNAcentral.
GUGCCCUUUUAAGGACAAUUCAGUGCUUUCUGAGGCUAACACAGAAGGGUAAAGUAAGUAUCCAUAAAACCCAAAGAGGAGAUUGUAAAACUCCUCUUUGGAUCAUGUAUAGAGUCACAGCU